AUGCGCGUGCUCGCUGUCGUUGUUGAACGGCCCUGAAAGCGCUGCGUUAGGGGCGAGUGCAACCGAACAUUACGGCAAGUUACGAUGGGAACUUCUUUCCGUGCUACGUGAUUGCGACGACAAGAACGGCCAGCAGUAGCGUGUCGCCGAUUUCGUCUUGGCCGACAUCGAACAAGUAUAGCUCGCCGGACCGUGGCUAGCACCCGAAGUGUUGCCGUGUGCACUGCGUCGUCUUUCAUUGUGAUGUGAGAGAUCGUAACGCACAGAGACUGCCGGAUGCAUACGAAAGCCUACCAGCAGGGAGUGACAGUGCCAUUUUUCUAUUACCGUCUCAGGUAUUGAAGAAGCGGCAACAGCCACAGAAAGUAGCCAUCUUAUCCAGCACGUUAUGGGUAGAACUUGGCGGCUCCUGCUCCUGCCUUCCACCACCACCCUGUCCCGACUGCUUCCACUAGAGAGUUGGCAACCUUAGUGAUGAUGCCAAGCAGUCCGAUGGCAGACGGCAAGAUGCAGGUUGCUGCGAAAUUUUACCCGAGCUGGGCCACACACUUGAGCCAGGCCUCUUGGAAAGGAUGCCAUAAUCAGACUCCACGCGUCGAUGUCAGAGGAUGCCAGGGAUCAAGGCAACCUGUUGUGCCCCACUAUUCAAUGUUUGGUGACCCUUCUAUGUGUUUCACCUAUUUCGCAGCUGUACCUCGGCUGCCAUCUAUCCAAACAGCAUCGCCAGCUGUGCCGACUUGUUGAACCAUG
Molecule: long non-coding RNA, 750 nt
Organism: Dermacentor silvarum
Lineage: Eukaryota; Metazoa; Arthropoda; Arachnida; Ixodida; Ixodidae
Exons: 4
Source: RefSeq, a predicted model, not a curated record